This is an RNA transcript of Dalotia coriaria, 1746 nucleotides long. It is a transcript of the gene named COPI coat complex subunit zeta, with no coding region annotated. The transcript is spliced from 5 exons. The record is from RefSeq and is a predicted model, not a curated record. Lineage: Eukaryota; Metazoa; Arthropoda; Insecta; Coleoptera; Staphylinidae.
ACUUUUAAAAUAUCUGUAGGAAGUUAGGCAGCACACAACACAUUAGUAACAUUUGUCAACCAAUACCCCUGUCAUCGCUCAACACGUAUACAACGUUUCUGUUUCGUGUUAAAUUCUGUUUUUAUUAAACAAUAAAAAUGGAAGGAUACUUAUUGGAGCCCACAUUAUACACCAUCAAAGGAAUUGCCAUCUUGGACAAUGAUGGCAACAGAAUUCUUGCAAAAUAUUACGACAAGAACGUAUUCCCGACGUCUAAGGAACAAAAAGCAUUCGAAAAGAACCUUUUCAACAAAACACAUCGAGCCAAUGCCGAGAUUAUAAUGCUGGAUGGACUCACAUGCAUCUACAAAAGCAAUGUAGACUUAUUCUUCUAUGUCAUGGGCAGUUCGCAAGAAAAUGAGUUAAUUCUAAUGAGCGUCCUCAACUGUCUCUACGAUUCCGUGAGCCAAAUCCUGCGAAAAAACGUCGAAAAGCGCGCGGUGCUUGAAUCACUGGACAUUGUAAUGCUGGCAAUGGACGAAAUCUGCGACGGCGGCAUCAUAAUCGACGCUGAUUCCAGUUCGGUGGUGUCACGCGUCGCCCUACGCUCCGAUGACAUUCCACUGGGUGAACAGACAGUCGCACAGGAAAUACGCCAAUUACUCUCCGGCGUCGUGUACUGAGUUACUUACAUCAACUUCCUCCUUAAUGAACGCCUUUGUGUUUGUGAAUUCGUCGUCGGACGGUUUCUUAAACUGUUUAUACCUAGCGAAAUAAGUGCCUAUCGAUAUUCCGCGUUGAAUUUUCUUCUGCAAGAUGUCCUCCUUGUUAAGAAACACAAUCGCUGUAUGUGGGUUUAGAUACCUGUGUACAACAGUCAAUAGUUUACUGUUUGUGAUAAGUUUAGUAUAGAAAUUUUACCUGGAAUUAAACAUGUUACCGAACGUUGUUAGCGCUUCUUCCAGGCGAUUUGUCGAUUCAUCCUCGCGUAGUACUUGAUCAAAAUCACUUACCGAAAUUACGAAUAAGAGGGUUUUUAUUCCUUCGAAAAGCUAAAGAAGUUAUUGUUUAGAGUAAGCGUCGAUUCAUCACAAAAAUAAUUCCAGUAUCUACAUAACCUUAGGAAAAUAUUGAGAAUUCAAUUAAUGCUUAACUGGUUGCCUAAAUUCGCGUAAUGGCCGACUAUUCAUUAAAAUUACAUCCACAAAUAUAUUGGAAGCAAAAAUAUUCGAGAAUAAACUUAAACUUUUUAUAGUUAUAUAGAAACUUGAAUUCUUUUUGCGUCGCAACAACGUAUUUGAAUUAAUUAGUUUUAAAUUUUUGAUUUAAUCAAUUAGUUUGAUUUAUUACCGAUAUCCAUUUCCGGCGCUGUCCGCGCUGACCACCUACAUCAUGCAUCACGAAACUAACCAUGUGGCCGCCAUGCUUGAUUUUGAAUUCAAUCGUCUGCACCGCUGUAGUUUUCACGCGACAAUAGAGGAUGUCUUGUGUGUCCGGAACAUAAUCAGCCCGUCUAAUCACAUCUAACCGCUUCAUAAACUCUUCUGUGCUAUCAAAUUCUCGAAAGUCGCAACAUUUUUCCCUGGCUCGAUUGAUACGAGAUUUGUGCGAAGGUUGACGUCGAUGUCGCGGCCUUCCACGACCUUCCACAGGGCAUCCGCGUACUUUUUCACGCCGAAGAUGACUGGUAACGAGGUGUUGUAGAUUACUCUCGCAUUGUUUCGUUUGUUAUUCUGUACAAACACAUUAAAAAUGGGUUAAUAAUCA